Long non-coding RNA from Numida meleagris (helmeted guineafowl), 411 nucleotides. RefSeq lists it as uncharacterized. The record is from RefSeq and is a predicted model, not a curated record. NCBI's taxonomy places the organism in Eukaryota, Metazoa, Chordata, Aves, Galliformes, Numididae. The transcript has 2 exons.
UGUGUGUGCGUGUGUGUGAGUGUGUUUUCAAGUGGUGCCGAAACCCGGGAACGUGUGUGUGUGUUUACAGCCUCUAAAGAAGGGAAUUAAUGAGAGAAAAAUGCAUGGAUGAACAUUCUCCAUGACAAAAAUGCCCACUUAAAAUAUCCACUUGCAUAGAGUUUGCUGCUUUGUGUGUGCUUUCCGUGGAAAGGGGAGCUGGGCACAUGGGUCACAGCCAGCCAGAUCGUCCCCGACUGGAAAGCACAACAGGGAAUGAGCCAGCCCCUCAUCAGCCAAAUGCCCACAUCACAGUCUGGCCACUAACACUCCAUUUCUGCAUCAUGCUCACCAUGAAGCACUGCCUUGAUGUAGCUGAGCUACAGCUGCAGAAAUGUGCUACGCAAAUUAAAUGAGAAAUUGCUUUAAUAU